This 374-nucleotide unclassified non-coding RNA is filed under the name Hevea brasiliensis (rubber tree). Lineage: Eukaryota; Viridiplantae; Streptophyta; Magnoliopsida; Malpighiales; Euphorbiaceae. The record is from RNAcentral.
UGCAUCCAGCAUCGCCACAUCGCCAACAGCAACGGGACUCGUAUCCAUAAUUUAUAUCAAAUUAAAUCAAGCCAAAAAUAAAGAUCGCCGAACCCUAGAUUCCAAAACAAAGCGCUCUAAAUUUUCGCUUUUCAAUGGAUUUACAGUGCUUAAAUUAAUUGAAAUUUCAUAUACGUAUAGAGAGAUAAGGUUAAGAAACACAGAUUUGAAGGUCCAGGAGGAUAAGCAACCCUAGAUCUUUACAAAAUGAAACAAUUCUAUCUCCUUGCGUCCUUCUCUUUUGAGAAGAAGAGGCGAAUGGAGGAAGAGAAAAUGGAGGAAAAUGAGGGAAAGUGAGGGAAAAUUUGUUAUGCAAUUGAUGAUGGAUGCUAUUC